UACGUAGGGUGCAAGCGUUGUCCGGAAUUAUUGGGCGUAAAGAGCUCGUAGGCGGUCUGUCGCGUCGGAUGUGAAAAUCCAGGGCUCAACCCUGGACCUGCAUUCGAUACGGGCAGACUAGAGUUCGGUAGGGGAGACUGGAAUUCCUGGUGUAGCGGUGAAAUGCGUAGAUAUCUGGAGGAACACCGGUGGCGAAGGCGGCAUCCUGGACCAACACUGACGCUGAGGAGCGAAAGCCAGGGGAGCAAACGGG
RNAcentral lists this ribosomal RNA (253 nucleotides) under uncultured bacterium. Its description in RNAcentral is "partial 16S ribosomal RNA". It matches the Rfam family "Bacterial small subunit ribosomal RNA", at positions 524 to 776 of the family's 1533-position model. The record is from RNAcentral.